GAUCCUGAUGCUACAACCCGACUGGGGGAUGGCUCGGCUCGAGAGCCGAAGAAGGUCGUGACAAGCUGCGAUAAGUCGCGGGGAGAGGCAUGAAUCUCUUGGAUCCGCGAAUUGCCGAAUGGGACCUCCUGGCACUAUGUGCCAUUCCUCUCAAGGAAAGGGAACCCCCCGAACUGAAGCAUCUUAGUAGGGGGUGGAAAAGAAAUCAAAAGAAAUUCCGUUAGUAGUGGCGAAUGAACACGGAACAGGACAAACCGAACCGCAUUGGGAAACCUUUGCGGAAUGUGGGGUGCGGGCCAUCUCUACCUAAGUCGUGGAAGUGGAAGUCGUCCUGGAACGGCACACCAUAGAGGGUGAAAGUCCCGUACACGCAAACGACAUGGUAUUGUGAUGGAGCCCCGAGUAGCGUGCGUCGGAUAUCGCGCGUGAAUAUGGGAGGCAGGAACUUCCAAUCCUAAAUACUACUCGAGACCGAUAGUGGAUAAGUAGCGUGAGCGAACGCUGAAAAGUAUCCUUAGCGGGAUGUGAAAAGACCCUGAAACCAGUCGGGAUCAGACUGAUAUGGCGUGAAAGCGAAGACAUGAGCAGCGUCAUAUCGUGCGUUUUGAAUAAUG
RNAcentral lists this ribosomal RNA (614 nucleotides) under Candidatus Thalassarchaeaceae archaeon. RNAcentral's name for it is "partial 23S ribosomal RNA". It matches the Rfam family "Archaeal large subunit ribosomal RNA", at positions 1 to 661 of the family's 2987-position model. The record is from RNAcentral. Lineage: Archaea; Methanobacteriati; Thermoplasmatota; Candidatus Poseidoniia; Candidatus Poseidoniales; Candidatus Thalassarchaeaceae.